CUCUGUGUCUUGGCCUCUGGGCCCCAGCACCUCUCAAUUGUCAGACUCCUCCCUCCUGCAUGGGGCUCCCUCCCAGGGGUGCAAUGGAGGUCAUGGUCCUAGCCAGGAAUGGGAUGAUUGCAGGGAGAGCUCCCCCAGGGGGCAGAGAGAAAGCAGGAGAAAGCAGGAGCCUUUCUUCUUCAUCCCCCUUGGGGAGCUAAUUACAGGCCAGCAGCCCACUGCACAGGGUUCCCUGAUCUGCCCACCCCUCAAGAGUUCAGCCAACCACGUGUGGCAGCCCCCAGCCGGCAUUCCAAGGAAGACGAGUCUGAUCACAGGUUGCAUGUAAGAAACCAUGUGAAGAAAGGACCCUACUAUCUACAACAACAAGCUCCCUGGGGCACAGAGCCGGGGCUGAAAGCCAGACAAAGUUGCACUGUCCGAUACAUAGCAACAGCCAUAUGUGGCUAUUGUGCACCUGAAAUGCGACUAGUUCAAACUGUAAGUAUAAAAUACUACACUGGC
This is a long non-coding RNA of Neofelis nebulosa (Clouded leopard), 504 nucleotides long. RefSeq lists it as uncharacterized. The transcript is spliced from 4 exons. The record is from RefSeq and is a predicted model, not a curated record. NCBI's taxonomy places the organism in Eukaryota, Metazoa, Chordata, Mammalia, Carnivora, Felidae.